RNAcentral lists this ribosomal RNA (428 nucleotides) under Reticulitermes flavipes (eastern subterranean termite). RNAcentral's name for it is "partial 16S ribosomal RNA". It matches the Rfam family "Archaeal large subunit ribosomal RNA", at positions 1889 to 2554 of the family's 2987-position model. The record is from RNAcentral. Lineage: Eukaryota; Metazoa; Arthropoda; Insecta; Blattodea; Rhinotermitidae.
CGCCUGUUUAUCAAAAACAUCUCUUCUCGUUAGUUUUUGAAGUAUGGCCUGCCCACUGACCUUGAAUGUUGAAGGGCCGCGGUAUUUUGACCGUGCAAAGGUAGCAUAGUCAUUAGUUCUUUAAUUGUGAUCUGGUAUGAAUGGUUUGACGAGGCAUAAGCUGUCUUAAUUUUGAAUUGUUUAUUGAAUUUGGUCUUUGAGUUAAAAUUCUUAGAUGUUUUUAUGGGACGAGAAGACCCUAUAGAGUUUGACAUUUAUUAUGGUCUCUUUCUGUUUGUGAGGGUUCACUAGGGCUGUUUAAUAUGUUUUGUUGGGGUGAUGGGAGGGAUAUUAUUUAACCCCUCCUUUGUGUUGUUAUAUUUAUUUAUAUUUGCUUGAUCCAUUUAUUUUGAUUGUAAGAUUAAAUUACCUUAGGGAUAACAGCGUAA